CGUCGAGCUAGAGCCGGUCUCCAGAAGGAUGCUCUCCCUCCAGACUCUAGACGGCUCUCCUUCCCUGGACGGCACCGCGGGCGGAGUGCGGUGGUUUGCAAGGUGCGUCUGCUGGUUUGGCCUGGACUCAGAAUGCUGGAUGCUGGCAAGUCAUUGGAUUGGAAGUUCCUGAGCCCUAAGGUGGAAGGACCCCUUAACUCCUUUCCCAUGAGACAGGACAGAGGGAUUGGACAAGACCUCAGAGCUGUCCUCAAGACCUGAAGAAUCGAUUCAUCACCCUUGCUUCACCUCUGACAAUCAGCUCCCAGCUGGACCCCUAAACCAUGGUGUCUUGUGAUUUUUCCCUGUGAAAUCUGUAACCUAUAUUCCUUUUGGAAGUCGGGCUUUCAUAUUAGCUCCCUGACU
Eptesicus fuscus (big brown bat) is the source of this 405-nucleotide long non-coding RNA. RefSeq lists it as uncharacterized. NCBI's taxonomy places the organism in Eukaryota, Metazoa, Chordata, Mammalia, Chiroptera, Vespertilionidae. The record is from RefSeq and is a predicted model, not a curated record. The transcript has 3 exons.